Molecule: ribosomal RNA, 259 nt
Filed under: uncultured Glomus
Lineage: Eukaryota; Fungi; Glomeromycota; Glomeromycetes; Glomerales; Glomeraceae
Description: partial 18S ribosomal RNA
Rfam family: Eukaryotic small subunit ribosomal RNA
Source: RNAcentral
AAGCUCGUAGUUGAAUUUCGGGGUUAGUAGGUUGGUCAUGCCUCUGGUAUGUACUGGUCUCACUGAUUCCUCCUUCCUUAUGAACCGUAAUGCCAUUAAUUUGGUGUUGCGGGGAAUUUGGACUGUUACUUUGAAAAAAUUAGAGUGUUUAAAGCAAGCUAACGCUUGAAUACAUUAGCAUGGAAUAAUGAAAUAGGACGUUCGAUCUUAUUUUGUUGGUUUCUUAGGAUUGACGUAAUGAUUAAUAGGGAUAGUUGGG